CGGGUUUGGACUUGUCACUGAAGCCCUGGCUGCGGCGGUUGCCUGCGGAGCUGAUGGACCCACGAGGAGAGCUCUCACUGCCCGCAGUGGCCAUCCUGGACGUGGGGGCGGGGAGUCUGGAAGGGUGCGAGGGAGAGCAGCUUACCUUCCGCAGACAGACCCUGUAUGUUCACACCUUUGGCCGCCAGAAAACUCAAACAGGUAUCGAUGUUCUCGAGCUGGAGAGGUGAACAGAGGAGAGGAGAGGGUCGGGUUUAGACACCGCAAAAACUUCUGCCUUCGCUCACACAAAAGUCACUCUAGGCAAAGGAAGAGAGAUAUUCCCUGGAAAGUCACAACCAAUUCAUCACAGAAAUCCACAGCAGAUGACCUGAUUGGCUCUGAACUGUGUCUGACCUACGAGGCCUCAAGUCAACAAAGUUUCCUUAUAGUGAAAAGAGGCUUUUCAAAAUAUGACAGAUAAAAAAAAAAUAUAUUAAAAGAUGCGCUCUCUAAAACAAUCCAAAGGGAUGUCAGAUGGCAUAAUGUCUAUGUUUGUCAUAUAUUGACUGUGGGGUUAGUAGGAUUCAUAUUGUGUUUUAUAUGGCCUAUCAAAAAGCCCUGCGUGACCAGGAUGGGGCAGUCAAAGCAGCAUUCAAAAGAGCCAGACGUAUUCCCUGGGCAUUCUGUCUGCCCGGUUGCUAGGAGACGACUUCAGGUUACAAUGCUGUCAUUCAGCUGUCGCCAAGGAGCUGUCCUGAUUGGCUGACAGCAGGGUUUGACAAAAAAUAAAUAAGCACUAGAAAAACACCAUAUCUGGAGGUCAUGUUUCAGCCAAUGAAUACCCAUUUGGCUUGGUGCUGCCAGGUGAAACAAACAGGACUGACGAACCCAUGUGUCAAUAUCAGCUAAAUUAAAUACACAUUAAUUAAAACUUGCCUACAGUCUGGAUCCCUAGUGGACAAAGGACUAUCCUAGAACAAAUAGCAGCACAGUGCACACAUGCA
This is a long non-coding RNA of Alosa sapidissima (American shad), 986 nucleotides long. RefSeq lists it as uncharacterized. NCBI's taxonomy places the organism in Eukaryota, Metazoa, Chordata, Actinopteri, Clupeiformes, Clupeidae. The transcript has 3 exons. The record is from RefSeq and is a predicted model, not a curated record.